AGUGAACGCUGGCGGUAGGCCUAACACAUGCAAGUCGAACGGCAGCACAGUAAGAGCUUGCUCUUACGGGUGGCGAGUGGCGGACGGGUGAGGAAUACAUCGGAAUCUACUUUUUCGUGGGGGAUAACGUAGGGAAACUUACGCUAAUACCGCAUACGACCUACGGGUGAAAGCAGGGGAGCUUCGGACCUUGCGCGAUUGAAUGAGCCGAUGUCGGAUUAGCUAGUUGGCGGGGUAAAGGCCCACCAAGGCGACGAUCCGUAGCUGGUCGGAGAGGAUGAUCAGCCACAUUGGAACUGAGACCCGGUCCAGACUCCUACGGGAGGCAGAAGUGGGGAAUAUUGGACAAUGGGCGCAAGCCUGAUCCAGCCAUACCGCGUGGGUGAAGAAGGCCUUCGGGUUGUAAAGCCCUUUUGUUGGGAAAGAAAAGCAGCAGGUUAAUACCCCGCUGUUCUGACGGUACCCAAAGAAUAAGCACCGGCUAACUUCGUG
This 492-nucleotide ribosomal RNA is filed under the name uncultured bacterium. RNAcentral describes it as "partial 16S ribosomal RNA". It matches the Rfam family "Bacterial small subunit ribosomal RNA", at positions 29 to 507 of the family's 1533-position model. The record is from RNAcentral.